GGACCAUUGGCCCGAUGGUCGGGCGGGCCCCUCAUAAGGGCUUGGUCUUGGUUCGAUUCCAAGAUGGUCCA
RNAcentral lists this transfer RNA (71 nucleotides) under Caudoviricetes sp. Its description in RNAcentral is "tRNA-Met". It matches the Rfam family "tRNA". Rfam says of the family: Transfer RNA (tRNA) molecules are approximately 80 nucleotides in length. Lineage: Duplodnaviria; Heunggongvirae; Uroviricota; Caudoviricetes. The record is from RNAcentral.